RNAcentral lists this ribosomal RNA (383 nucleotides) under uncultured eukaryote. RNAcentral's name for it is "partial 18S ribosomal RNA". It matches the Rfam family "Eukaryotic small subunit ribosomal RNA", at positions 592 to 976 of the family's 1831-position model. The record is from RNAcentral.
CAAUAGCGUAUAUUAAAGUUGUUGCAGUUAAAAAGCUCGUAGUUGGAAUUCUGGUGGGAGCGAUCGGUCUGGCGCUUAGCGCGAGUACUUGCAUCGUCUCCGGCCAUCCUUGGGGAGAGUCUGUCUGGCAUUAAGUUGUCGGGCAGAGGAUCCUCAUCGUUUACUGUGAAAAAAUUAGAGUGUUCAAAGCAGGCUUAUGCCGUUGAAUAUAUUAGCAUGGAAUAAUAAGAUAGGACUUUGGUACUAUUUUGUUGGUUUGCGCACCAAAGUAAUGAUUAAUAGGGACAGUUGGGGGUAUUCGUAUUCCGUUGUCAGAGGUGAAAUUCUUGGAUUUACGGAAGACGAACUACUGCGAAAGCAUUUACCAAGGAUGUUUUCAUUAA